Molecule: long non-coding RNA, 303 nt
Filed under: Nicotiana benthamiana
Lineage: Eukaryota; Viridiplantae; Streptophyta; Magnoliopsida; Solanales; Solanaceae
Description: long non-coding RNA (NBEN_LNC040722)
Source: RNAcentral
CCUUAUUACACCGUGUCAAAAAAUAAAAAGAAUCUAGGCUAAGAUAUGCUCUACGAAUAACAAAAGUCCUAUCUAAGUUCUUCAAACUUGGUCUCAUAUGCCUUGUUGCCUUGUUGUUUUGCAUUCUCUCGGUGAAAUCCAUUGUUGCCGCUUCGAACUGUAAACUGAGAUGCUUUUCCUUUCCUUCAAACUACUGAACUUGAAUGUAUUCAUCUGUUAUACAGGCGGGCUCCCAACUUCAAGACUUGAGUAUAUUCCUAUGUCAUAAAGGCAGGCUCCCAACUGCUGAACUUGAACUUGAAU